Molecule: long non-coding RNA, 420 nt
Organism: Numida meleagris (helmeted guineafowl)
Lineage: Eukaryota; Metazoa; Chordata; Aves; Galliformes; Numididae
Exons: 3
Source: RefSeq, a predicted model, not a curated record
UGGCGGGUUCCCCAAUCCUCCUGGUGCUUAAGGCCCCAGCAGGUCGCUCAGCUGUGGAGUGGCAGGAGACAUGCUGCUGGGAGGCAGGCCUGCGCAGGGGGAAAGCUUAAGCUCCAGUCUGGUUGGCUGAUGCCAAGCAGAACUGCUGUGACAGGUCAGGACCGUCCUUCACCUUUGCUUGGCAUACAAAAUUGUACUGACUAGAAGAUGUAGGAAGAGCAGUAGAGAUGUUUUAUGGCAGAAAAUAAUCAGAAGCAAUGACAUGCCAUCAAGCAGACAUAAUAUUUUGCUGCACCUUCUUAUGUGUUGAUUUGCGGAAUCAAACUCCAUAACCUGAGAUGAGGUUAUAAAGCAGGUAUGUUUAUUACGGUGCUGCGCCCACACCGGAUGCGAGGGGGGUUGCUGCCCUACCAAACUUGC